This 656-nucleotide ribosomal RNA is filed under the name uncultured fungus. RNAcentral's name for it is "eukaryotic LSU rRNA". It matches the Rfam family "Eukaryotic large subunit ribosomal RNA", at positions 24 to 664 of the family's 3401-position model. The record is from RNAcentral. Lineage: Eukaryota; Fungi.
CCCGCUGAACUUAAGCAUAUCAAUAAGCGGAGGAAAAGAAACUAACAAGGAUUCCCUUAGUAACUGCGAGUGAAGAGGGAAAAGCUCAAAUUUAAAAUCUGGCAGUUAUUUGCUGUCCGAGUUGUAAUCUAGAGAAGCGUUAUCCGCGUUGGACCGUGUAUAAGUCUCCUGGAAUGGAGCGUCAUAGAGGGUGAGAAUCCCGUCUUUGACACGGACUACCAGGGCUUUGUGAUGCGCUCUCAAAGAGUCGAGUUGUUUGGGAAUGCAGCUCUAAAUGGGUGGUAAAUUCCAUCUAAAGCUAAAUAUUGGCGAGAGACCGAUAGCGAACAAGUACCGUGAGGGAAAGAUGAAAAGAACUUUGGAAAGAGAGUUAAACAGUACGUGAAAUUGUUGAAAGGGAAACGCUUGAAGUCAGUCGCGUUGACCGGGAAUCAACCUUGCUUUUGCUUGGCGAACUUCCUGAUUAACGGGUCAGCAUCAAUUUUGACCAGUGGAAAAAGUUCGAGGGAAUGUGGCAUCUUCGGAUGUGUUAUAGCCCUUGGUCGUAUACACUGGUUGGGAUUGAGGAACUCAGCACGCCGCAAGGCCGGGUUUUAACCACGUUCGUGCUUAGGAUGCUGGCAUAAUGGCUUUAAUCGACCCGUCUUGAAACACGG